This 196-nucleotide small nuclear RNA is filed under the name Triticum aestivum (bread wheat). Its description in RNAcentral is "snRNA U2". It matches the Rfam family "U2 spliceosomal RNA". From Rfam's summary of the family: U2 is a small nuclear RNA (snRNA) component of the spliceosome (involved in pre-mRNA splicing). Complementary binding between U2 snRNA (in an area lying towards the 5' end but 3' to hairpin I) and the branchpoint sequence (BPS) of the intron results the bulging out of an unpaired adenosine, on the BPS, which initiates a nucleophilic attack at the intronic 5' splice site, thus starting the first of two transesterification reactions that mediate splicing. The record is from Rfam by way of RNAcentral. Lineage: Eukaryota; Viridiplantae; Streptophyta; Magnoliopsida; Poales; Poaceae.
AUACCUUUCUCGGCCUUUUGGCUAAGAUCAAGUGUAGUAUCUGUUUUUAUCAGUUUAAUAUCUGAUAUGUGGGCCAUGUGCUCACAACGAUAUUAAAUUUAUUUUUUGUGGGGAGGGUCCACCACAGUGGCUUGCCACUGGGGCCCUCAUGUGUCGCCCGGGCGUUGCACUGCUGCCCGGGCCCGGCGCGCCCCAA